GACGAACGCUGGCGGCGUGCUUAACACAUGCAAGUCGAACGGAAAGGCCCUGCUUUUGUGGGGUGCUCGAGUGGCGAACGGGUGAGUAACACGUGAGUAACCUGCCCUUGACUUUGGGAUAACUUCAGGAAACUGGGGCUAAUACCGGAUAGUAGCUCCUGCUGCAUGGUGGGGGUUGGAAAGUUUCGGCGGUUGGGGAUGGACUCGCGGCUUAUCAGCUUGUUGGUGGGGUAGUGGCUUACCAAGGCUUUGACGGGUAGCCGGCCUGAGAGGGUGACCGGCGACCUUGCGACUGAGAUACGCAGCAGUCUGCUACAUGAGGCAGUGGGCGGAAAUAUUACACAAUGGGCGGACGCCUGAGGCAGCAACGCUCCGUGCGUGAUGACGGUCUUCGGGUUGAGAACCGCUUUCGCCUGUUACGAAGCGGGAGUGACGGUAAUGAGUAAAGAAGCACCGGCUAACUACGUG
Molecule: ribosomal RNA, 468 nt
Filed under: uncultured bacterium
Lineage: Bacteria
Description: partial 16S ribosomal RNA
Rfam family: Bacterial small subunit ribosomal RNA
Source: RNAcentral